This 125-nucleotide small RNA is filed under the name Marmota monax (woodchuck). The record is from RNAcentral. Lineage: Eukaryota; Metazoa; Chordata; Mammalia; Rodentia; Sciuridae.
GCCAAGCAUGGUGGCAGAUGCCUGUAAUCCCAGUGGCUCAGGAGGCUGAGGCAGGAGGAUCGCGAGUUCAAAGCCAGCCUCAGCAAAAGCAAGGCACUUAGCAACUCAGUGAGACCCUGUCUCUA